UAGUUAGAAUGUGUAGUGUAGCGGUGAAAUGCAUAGAUAUUACACAGAAUACCGAUUGCGAAGGCAGAUUACUAACAAUAUACUGACGCUGAGGGACGAAAGCGUGGGUAGCGAACAGGAUUAGAUACCCUGGUAGUCCACGCCGUAAACGAUGGAUACUAGCUGUUCGACCAACAUUGGUUGGUUGAGUGGCUAAGCGAAAGUGAUAAGUAUCCCACCUGGGGAGUACGCUCGCAGAGUGAAACUCAAG
RNAcentral lists this ribosomal RNA (250 nucleotides) under uncultured bacterium. Its description in RNAcentral is "partial 16S ribosomal RNA". It matches the Rfam family "Bacterial small subunit ribosomal RNA", at positions 658 to 905 of the family's 1533-position model. The record is from RNAcentral.